Molecule: ribosomal RNA, 492 nt
Filed under: uncultured bacterium
Lineage: Bacteria
Description: partial 16S ribosomal RNA
Rfam family: Bacterial small subunit ribosomal RNA
Source: RNAcentral
AGUGAACGCUGGCGGUAGGCCUAACACAUGCAAGUCGAACGGCAGCACAGUAAGAGCUUGCUCUUACGGGUGGCGAGUGGCGGACGGGUGAGGAAUACAUCGGAAUCUACUUUUUCGUGGGGGAUAACGUAGGGAAACUUACGCUAAUACCGCAUACGACCUACGGGUGAAAGCAGGGGAUCUUCGGACCUUGCGCGAUUGAAUGAGCCGAUGUCGGAUUAGCUAGUUGGCGGGGUAAAGGCCCACCAAGGCGACGAUCCGUAGCUGGUCUGAGAGGAUGGUCAGCCACCCUGGAACUGAGACACGGUCCAGACUCCUACGGGAGGCAGCAGUGGGGAAUAUUGGACAAUGGGCGCAAGCCUGAUCCAGCCAUUCCGCGUGGGUGAAGAAGGCCUUCGGGUUGUAAAGCCCUUUUGUUGGGAAAGAAAAGCAGCAGGUUAAUACCCCGCUGUUCUGACGGUACCCAAAGAGUAAGCACCGGCUAACUUCGUG